UUCUUAUAUUUCUGUGUUCCAAAAGA
Molecule: non-coding RNA, 26 nt
Filed under: Rattus norvegicus (Norway rat)
Lineage: Eukaryota; Metazoa; Chordata; Mammalia; Rodentia; Muridae
Source: RNAcentral